Poecilia reticulata (guppy) is the source of this 816-nucleotide non-coding RNA. The record is from RefSeq and is a predicted model, not a curated record. NCBI's taxonomy places the organism in Eukaryota, Metazoa, Chordata, Actinopteri, Cyprinodontiformes, Poeciliidae.
CAUUUCCGACAGCCCCUGAACGCAUCACCGGGCUGCUCCGCUUCAGCUUGGAGCGGGCAGCGCCACGCAUGAGUCAGGGAGCGACCUCUGAAGGAAGCGGAGCAUCUGGAGAAGCGUCCAGGUUGCGUCUCCAUCAGGAUGCCCUCAGCACCGUUUGGGGUCAAAUCUGCAGAGCGUCCAUGAUGUUUUUUUGCAGCGUCGCCUCGGGCGCAGACGCUCGCUCCAGUUCUGCUGCUUGGGACCGGAAAGCGCAGGAAGCCGCCGUCAGGAAGCAUUAUGCCUGAGGACGCGGCUGAGGUUGAGGGUCCUGUUUUUGACGAGUUGAUGGACAGGAAUCUCUUCCCUGCCUGUGGAUUUGACAUUCAUGCACCAUAACUGGGAAUCGGUUGGGAAGGUGGACUGAAAUACUCUGAGCAGGUGUUUCCCUUCGUUCCUGAAAAGGUUUGGUGUUUGGGUGGGAGUUCGGGGUCAAAGGUUGGAUAUUUGGCGGUUGGAUGAAGAUGGAGGCCGGAGCGGAGGCGAGCCCACAUCAGCACCAGAGGAGGAAGCCUGUGCUGCAUGGACUGGAGGACCAGAAGAGGGAGCCCAUUGUUGAAAUACUGGAGCAACAGUCAGCGUCCUUCAGCAAUUACCUUGGCUUUGUGGGUCUGAGAUGCUGCGUGCGAUCCUCACCCUGCAGGAGAUAAUUGGAUUUUUGUUCCCUCUGUGGAUCUGCUGCCACACGUCUCCUGCUCUGCGUAUUAAAGUUCGAUGAGCAGCAAUCACAGACCUGCGCGGAGAAGGCCCGAAACGGAUGCGUUGCAUCACGAGGAGCAG